This 541-nucleotide ribosomal RNA is filed under the name Coriolopsis trogii. RNAcentral describes it as "eukaryotic LSU rRNA". The stretch from base 160 to 313 matches the Rfam family "5.8S ribosomal RNA". The record is from RNAcentral. Lineage: Eukaryota; Fungi; Basidiomycota; Agaricomycetes; Polyporales; Polyporaceae.
AGGCAUGUGCACGCCCUGCUCAUCCACUCUACACCUGUGCACUUACUGUGGGUAUCGGGAGGUGUCGCGUCGUUUACGGCGAGGCGUUAACCGUGCCUACGUUUUACUACAAACGAUUCAGUAUCAGAAUGUGUAUUGCGAUGUAACGCAUCUAUAUACAACUUUCAGCAACGGAUCUCUUGGCUCUCGCAUCGAUGAAGAACGCAGCGAAAUGCGAUAAGUAAUGUGAAUUGCAGAAUUCAGUGAAUCAUCGAAUCUUUGAACGCACCUUGCGCUCCUUGGUAUUCCGAGGAGCAUGCCUGUUUGAGUGUCAUGAAAUUCUCAAACCCAUAAGUCUUUGCGGGCUUACGGGCUUUGGACUUGGAGGCUUGUCGGCGACCGUGAGGUCACAUCGACUCCUCUCAAAUGCAUUAGCUUGAUUCCUUGCGGAUCGGCUCUCGGUGUGAUAAUUGUCUACGCCGUGACCGUGAAGCGUUUUGGCAAGCUUCUAACCGUCUCUAACGAGACAGCUUACUUUGACCUCUGACCUCAAAUCAGGUAG